AAUAUUAAUUUUAAUUAUAAUUUCGAUAUUAUUAUAUGUUUAAGCAUGCCCAUGCAUCACUUAUAAAUAUGUAUCUAUAUAGUUAAACAUUAAGCACGUUUUAUAUUACAUUCAUAAUUGUUGAAGUGCCAUGGAUGUUGUUUGGAGUAAUUUGGAGCAGUGUGUGUGUGUGGUGUGAGUGUGAUAUGGUAUUGGAGAAUUAUUUGUUGUGGCUAACCUGCUUUUCUUCUUCACAGGUCCAUUAAUAGUAUUUAAUG
RNAcentral lists this unclassified non-coding RNA (257 nucleotides) under Hevea brasiliensis (rubber tree). Lineage: Eukaryota; Viridiplantae; Streptophyta; Magnoliopsida; Malpighiales; Euphorbiaceae. The record is from RNAcentral.